GCAGUCGAGCGGUAUAGGUUUUCGGACCUAGAGACCGGCGCACGGGUGCGUAACGCGUAUGCAAUCUACCUUUUACAGAGGGAUAGCCCAGAGAAAUUUGGAUUAAUACCUCAUAGUAUUAUUGAAUGGCAUCAUUUAAUAAUUAAAGUCACAACGGUAAAAGAUGAGCAUGCGUCCCAUUAGCUUGUUGGUAAGGUAACGGCUUACCAAGGCAACGAUGGGUAGGGGUCCUGAGAGGGAGAUCCCCCACACUGGUACUGAGACACGGACCAGACUCCUACGGGAGGCAGCAGUGAGGAAUAUUGGUCAAUGGGCGCAAGCCUGAACCAGCCAUGCCGCGUGCAGGAUGAAGCAUCUAUGGUGUGUAAACUGCUUUUGUACGAGAAGAAACACUCCUACGUGUAGGAGCUUGACGGUAUCGUAAGAAUAAGGACCGGCUAACUCCGUGCCAGCAGCCGCGGUAAUACGGAGGGUCCAAGCGUUAUCCGGAAUCAUUGGGUUUAAAGGGUCCGUAGGCGGUUUUGUAAGUCAGUGGUGAAAGCCCAUCGCUCAACGGUGGAACGGCCAUUGAUACUGCAAGACUUGAAUUAUUGGGAAGUAACUAGAAUAUGUAGUGUAGCGGUGAAAUGCUUAGAGAUUACAUGGAAUACCAAUUGCGAAGGCAGGUUACUACCAAUAUAUUGACGCUGAUGGACGAAAGCGUGGGGAGCGAACAGGAUUAGAUACCCUGGUAGUCCACGCCGUANACGAUGGAUACUAGCUGUUCGGAGCAAUCUGAGUGGCUAAGCGAAAGUGAUAAGUAUCCCACCUGGGGAGUACGUUCGCAAGAAUGAAACUCAAAGGAAUUGACGGGGGCCCGCACAAAGCGUGGAGCAUGUGGUUUAAUUCGAUGAUACGCGAGGAACCUUAC
This 910-nucleotide ribosomal RNA is filed under the name uncultured bacterium. RNAcentral describes it as "bacterial SSU rRNA". It matches the Rfam family "Bacterial small subunit ribosomal RNA", at positions 57 to 974 of the family's 1533-position model. The record is from RNAcentral.